UCCCCAGGCUGGGACUACUUGUUAACAGCCACAACUUCUGGAGGACAAGCAGGAUGCAGUAAUCGUAUUAGGAGAAAGCAGGUAAAUAAGGACCUUGGAGAAGAAGCAUGACUUUGACAAUAUGAGAGGAAUCUGAAGCAGCUUUCCAUUCCAACUUAAAUAAUGAUAUAAAUAAACGGAGGAAUAUUCAGAGCUGAUGGCCAGACCCUGGCAAUACACCACAAAUGAUGAAACUAACAAAGUUAAUCAAUCAGGAACUUGAAGUACUACUACUUAACAGAGAGUUCACACUUACUUAGUCAUUAACACUUAGUCAUAAAAGACCACCAGCACUGCACCCCCCAGGCAGCAAAUCCAGAGACUUUGAUUGGUUCCCGAGAUAUGAUAGACCAGCCCACUGUGAAAGGAAGGAGAAACCACAGAGACAGGAAGUGAAUUGGAGAAAACUGCUUAUAAAAGCCAACCAAGUGCAUUCUAAUUCACUCAACUGCCUUGGAGGACUUCUGCUGCCUUGGUAGCUCUUGCAGAGGGAAGUCUUCUGUGUUGUCUCUGUGUUGGAGGCUCUUCUGCAUUGGAGGGAUUCUUCUGCCUUGGACUUCUGCAUUGGAAAUUGCUUUUGAGCUGUUAAGACUCUUGCUGAAGAGACUACAGUGACUUUUGCUUUGGAGAUCAGAAGAAUUAGAUCCUGUUGGAGAUUAGAACAUAAAAAUCCACUGUAAAACUGAAGGUUCAAGAUGAUUUCAACACAAUGUUAUUCUGGCAACAAGGAUGAAAUUGUAUUAAAUUUGAAUUGCCAUAGACACUGUAAAUCCUCCUGGAAAUCCCUAUUUGAAAGUGCUCCAGUCUCCAGCUUCAGCGACCUGCUUUGAGCUACAUUUCUCUUCAUCCUUCAAAUGAUCCCCAAAUGACUUGGUUUUGUGCUCCCUCAACAUAUUGAUCAUCUCUUCUGGAUGACAGCCACCUGGUUAACAUCUCUGAAAAAGCAGAACAGUCAAGUUUUGAAAAAAAUAAUCCAGAUGUGAUAUAACCAAGUACGAGUAAAGACAUACUAUAACUUCCUUUGUCUGCAUAUCAAACUUUAGUUAAUUCAGUC
Molecule: long non-coding RNA, 1093 nt
Filed under: Monodelphis domestica (gray short-tailed opossum)
Lineage: Eukaryota; Metazoa; Chordata; Mammalia; Didelphimorphia; Didelphidae
Description: lncRNA (ENSMODG00000035565.2)
Source: RNAcentral